UUGAAAACCAAUAUGCAAAGAUCAAAACAUAAAAUAGACUAUACAAAAUAAAACUGACAAACAAGUACGACUUUUACUCCAUAUGUGAUCGCAGAAAAUGUCUGCAAUUUCAUUUUCUUAGUAUCAAGUAUGAACUACAUAUGAUGCUUCAAUCCACAAUAUGACUGUUCAGAUAUUUCUUCAAAGAAACACACUUCACAUGGACUAAUACAAAAAUAACAGCAGAUCGAGACUCUGUUAUGUCUUGUGUUGUAUGUGUCGUGAUGCAUUCCUCCUCAUGCAGCAUAUCAUUAUUUCAUGGAAAUAUGAGAAAGUGGAGAAGUACUGUCUUUUUAAGAAAAAUAGUUUGACACCUUACUUAUAUUAUUGACCAUGCUGAGGUGGCAAGUUGCUUUUCUAACAAUGCAACUCGAGGAAUAUUAAUCUUAUGUUAUGCAUGAAGUGAGUAGAGCUUCAUGGAGAUCGUGUUGGCUAUGAUGAUCCAACCAUGGUGACUUACAUUGGGCGCAUUGAAGGUAGAAUUUAUCUUUUCAUUGGUCAUCAGAAAGGUAGAAACACAAACGAAAAACAUCAUGUAAAACUUUGCAAUGCCAACCCCUCAUGGUCAUGCUUCAACUAUUAUCAUUCAUAGCAAUAUUACUAAUUACUAUCAUUAAGCAUUCCAAGUAAUCUGUUCUGUGGUUAAUAACAAGUUAAAUUGAAUUGAUGUUUUCAUUAAUUCAAAGUGAAAUUAGAUUAGCAACAAGUUAGGCUGAAGUUGUUGCUCAUAAGCCUCUGAACAUGUUCACAGUUAUCAGAUUUUUGGAGAGUCUAUGCAGCGUUCAGGUUUUUGAAAGGAAUAUUGUUUAAUUUGAUACCUCAAGGUUAGUUUUGUAAAAAGAUGAAUUGAUAACUACUAAAUUUUCGCCGUGCAGCUACAGAAAGGCUUUGAGAAUGAUGAAAUGUGCUGAUCAUUGUGUCUUGUUACAUUUGUUGACACUCCAGGGGCUUUUGCUUAUUUAAGAUCUGAAGAGCUGGCAUGUUUGGGCUGAAAGUUCCAAUCAUAACAGUUGUAACUAAUGAAGGAGGUUCAGGCAGAACUCUUGCCAUCGGAUGUGAUUAAUGUUCAACAUUUUAUGUUACUAGUCUUGUAGCCUGUGCUUCUAUAUUAUGGAAGUCUUCACAAGCAGCUCCAACCUCCAAAGGUAUUGUUGUGAAUAAAAUGGUUUCUGACUGAAUAGGCAGCUAAGAGCUCAAGAACAUUACAGACUUUGGAUAGCAGAGGCAAUUAUUCCAGUUAAUAGUGUGAACGAAACAAUGUUUAGCUGGACUUUUAGAAGACGGAAAAAAGAUGCAAAACAUAAGAUUGUCGCCCCUUUAUCACUUAUGUUGACAAAGUUUUUGAUGAAGUAGAGAAGAAUUUUCCUCAUCCCUUAUUUAUUUUUUGUGCACUCACAAGUUUCUUGCUUCUUACAUGUAUAGAA
Solanum tuberosum (potato) is the source of this 1463-nucleotide long non-coding RNA. RefSeq lists it as uncharacterized. Lineage: Eukaryota; Viridiplantae; Streptophyta; Magnoliopsida; Solanales; Solanaceae. The transcript is spliced from 3 exons. The record is from RefSeq and is a predicted model, not a curated record.